GGGUGAAAGUACGGACUAACUUGAAGCACGUUGUAUAGGAUAACUCCCUCCUGGAAAAGCCAGGGAGCCUCGAGACCGUACUCUGCAACUUCGCGGGAAGAAACCCUAGUUUCUUGAUUGCGCCACAGAAGAAAGUGCUUUUCACAAGGACAUGAACAAUGGUUCCUCUUCCAAAAUGCACGGUCCAGAUCAACCUGAAAUAAGUGGGCCCGCGCCUGCGCCUAAAUCUCUGCGCACGAAAAUGGGCAAACCGGAAGACAGUGAAAAGAAGAUUUUUCAUAAGAAACUCAAAGAUGUUGAGAUUAGUGUUCCGAUAGUGUAUGGCAAUAUUGCAUUCUGGCUCGGUAAGAAGGCGAACGAGUACCAAUCACACAAGUGGACUGUGUACGUUCGUGGGGCAACCAAUGAGGAUCUUGGAGUGGUGAUAAAACGUGCUGUUUUUCAGCUGCAUUCCAGUUUCAAUAAUCCCACAAGGGUGGUUGAGUCACCACCAUUUGAAUUGUCAGAAUGUGGCUGGGGUGAAUUUGAAAUCGCCAUUACGCUUUUCUUCCACAGUGAUGUUUGUGAUAAGCCAUUAAACUUAUUUCAUCAUUUGAAGUUGUACCCAGCGGAUGAGUCCGGUCCUAUGUCAACUAAAAAGCCUGUUGUUGUGGAAUCAUAUGAUGAGAUAGUGUUCCCUGAGCCUUCAGAUGCAUUCUUAGCUCGUGUGCAGAAUCAGCCAGCUGUAGUCAUUCCCAGACUACCUGCUGGUGUUGCUUUGCCUCCUCCUGUGCCAGUUGAGGAUCCAAGUAACAGAAAGAGAGGGGACACUAAAGAUCAUCCCCUAUGCCAGUGGUUCACGAACUUUUCAGAAGCAGAUGAGCUGUUACGACUUGUAACAGCUCGUCAGCAGGUUAUGAAUCCUGAAUCUUGCAAGGAUCUAUUGAGAUGAAUCACAUGUUGUUGAGAUCUGGAACAUAUUUGAUGUUUUGGCAUUAGUCGGCAGUUCAAGCUCAUAUUGCUAAAUUUCGAAGAGAGAUAACUCUGCUAGAGGGGCAACAUCAACAAGUGAAUUCUGUCUCCGACCAGUGACUGUACAUUAUCCUGCAGAUUUAUGAAGAUUUCAAUUUCAAAUUGUUUCCGUGGUAGAUUCAUUCAAAUGACUCGCAGCAGACGCACAUGGUGGCACACAAAUGUAGCGACUACAUGUAUUUUCUCAGCUAUGGCGAGUUUUUUUUUUUUUACUGUCCUUUUUUUUUCCUCUCUCUCUCUCUCUCUCUCGUUAAUUUGUUGUCUUCUUUAUUGCAAUGCGGCAUGUAUCGGUAAACGAUUUAAAGGAAGAACGUAAAAGGUGUAUCUUUUAUGUUCUUUUAUGUCAAGAAAAGAGAGGAUAUUGGUUUACUUUGACAAUUAACAUUGAUGGUUCAACUUGUCGGUGUUAGUUAUCUGAAAGUACAUAUGAAGAGAAUAGAGUAGGUAUGAAAUUUGAGGUGUUUGAUUUUAGGUA
This is an RNA transcript of Malus domestica (apple), 1486 nucleotides long. It is a transcript of the gene named transcription initiation factor TFIID subunit 14b-like, with no coding region annotated. The record is from RefSeq and is a predicted model, not a curated record. Lineage: Eukaryota; Viridiplantae; Streptophyta; Magnoliopsida; Rosales; Rosaceae.